AAUAAUCCUGUAGUCGAAAAUGUUGUCUCUCUUGAGUGGAUCCUGAGUACGACGGAGCACGUGAAAUUCCGUCGGAAUCUGGGAGGACCAUCUCCUAAGGCUAAAUACUCUCUAGUGACCGAUAGUGAACCAGUACCGUGAGGGAAAGGUGAAAAGCACCCCGGAAGGGGAGUGAAAUAGAACCUGAAACCGUGUGCUUACAAGUAGUCAGAGCCCGUUAAUGGGUGAUGGCGUGCCUUUUGUAGAAUGAACCGGCGAGUUACGAUUUGAUGCAAGGUUAAGCAGUAAAUGUGGAGCCGUAGCGAAAGCGAGUCUGAAUAGGGCGUUUAGUAUUUGGUCGUAGACCCGAAACCAGGUGAUCUACCCUUGGUCAGGUUGAAGUUCAGGUAACACUGAAUGGAGGACCGAACCGACUUACGUUGAAAAGUGAGCGGAUGAACUGAGGGUAGCGGAGAAAUUCCAAUCGAACCUGGAGAUAGCUGGUUCUCUCCGAAAUAGCUUUAGGGCUAGCCUCAAGUGAUGAUUAUUGGAGGUAGAGCACUGUUUGGACGAGGGGCCCCUCUCGGGUUACCGAAUUCAGACAAACUCCGAAUGCCAAUUAAUUUAACUUGGGAGUCAGAACAUGGGUGAUAAGGUCCGUGUUCGAAAGGGAAACAGCCCAGACCACCAGCUAAGGUCCCAAAAUAUAUGUUAAGUGGAAAAGGAUGUGGCGUUGCCCAGACAACUAGGAUGUUGGCUUAGAAGCAGCCAUCAUUUAAAGAGUGCGUAAUAGCUCACUAGUCGAGUGACACUGCGCCGAAAAUGUACCGGGGCUAAACAUAUUACCGAAGCUGUGGAUUGUCCUUUGGACAAUGGUAGGAGAGCGUUCUAAGGGCGUUGAAGCAUGAUCGUAAGGACAUGUGGAGCGCUUAGAAGUGAGAAUGCCGGUGUGAGUAGCGAAAGACGGGUGAGAAUCCCGUCCACCGAUUGACUAAGGUUUCCAGAGGAAGGCUCGUCCGCUCUGGGUUAGUCGGGUCCUAAGCUGAGGCCGACAGGCGUAGGCGAUGGAUAACAGGUUGAUAUUCCUGUACCACCUAUAAUCGUUUUAAUCGAUGGGGGGACGCAGUAGGAUAGGCGAAGCGUGCGAUUGGAUUGCACGUCUAAGCAGUAAGGCUGAGUAUUAGGCAAAUCCGGUACUCGUUAAGGCUGAGCUGUGAUGGGGAGAAGACAUUGAGUCUUCGAGUCGUUGAUUUCACACUGCCGAGAAAAGCCUCUAGAUAGAAAAUAGGUGCCCGUACCGCAAACCGACACAGGUAGUCAAGAUGAGAAUUCUAAGGUGAGCGAGCGAACUCUCGUUAAGGAACUCGGCAAAAUGACCCCGUAACUUCGGGAGAAGGGGUGCUCUUUAGGGUUAACGCCCAGAAGAGCCGCAGUGAAUAGGCCCAAGCGACUGUUUAUCAAAAACACAGGUCUCUGCUAAACCGUAAGGUGAUGUAUAGGGGCUGACGCCUGCCCGGUGCUGGAAGGUUAAGAGGAGUGGUUAGCUUCUGCGAAGCUACGAAUCGAAGCCCCAGUAAACGGCGGCCGUAACUAUAACGGUCCUAAGGUAGCGAAAUUCCUUGUCGGGUAAGUUCCGACCCGCACGAAAGGCGUAACGAUUUGGGCACUGUCUCAACGAGAGACUCGGUGAAAUCAUAGUACCUGUGAAGAUGCAGGUUACCCGCGACAGGACGGAAAGACCCCGUGGAGCUUUACUGUAGCCUGAUAUUGAAAUUCGGCACAGCUUGUACAGGAUAGGUAGGAGCCUUUGAAACGUGAGCGCUAGCUUACGUGGAGGCGCUGGUGGGAUACUACCCUAGCUGUGUUGGCUUUCUAACCCGCACCACUUAUCGUGGUGGGAGACAGUGUCA
Molecule: ribosomal RNA, 1889 nt
Filed under: Staphylococcus aureus
Lineage: Bacteria; Bacillati; Bacillota; Bacilli; Caryophanales; Staphylococcaceae
Description: partial 23S ribosomal RNA
Rfam family: Bacterial large subunit ribosomal RNA
Source: RNAcentral